UCCCAGGUGGCUCAGGGCUAAAGAAUCUGCCUGCAGUGCAGGAGACUCAGGUUAGAUCCCUGGGUUGGGAA
This 71-nucleotide transfer RNA is filed under the name Ovis aries (sheep). It matches the Rfam family "tRNA". From Rfam's summary of the family: Transfer RNA (tRNA) molecules are approximately 80 nucleotides in length. Their secondary structure includes four short double-helical elements and three loops (D, anti-codon, and T loops). Lineage: Eukaryota; Metazoa; Chordata; Mammalia; Artiodactyla; Bovidae. The record is from Rfam by way of RNAcentral.